Molecule: ribosomal RNA, 253 nt
Filed under: uncultured bacterium
Lineage: Bacteria
Description: partial 16S ribosomal RNA
Rfam family: Bacterial small subunit ribosomal RNA
Source: RNAcentral
UACGUAGGUGGCGAGCGUUGUCCGGAAUUAUUGGGCGUAAAGAGCGUGUAGGCGGCCGCACAGGUCCGUUGUGAAAACUGGAGGCUUAACCUCCAGACGUCGACGGAAACCGUGUGGCUAGAGUCCGGAAGAGGAGAGUGGAAUUCCUGGUGUAGCGGUGAAAUGCGCAGAUAUCAGGAAGAACACCAAUGGCGAAGGCAGCUCUCUGGGACGGUACUGACGCUGAGACGCGAAAGCGUGGGGAGCGAACAGG